ACGGAGGGUGCUAGCGUUGUUCGGAAUCACUGGGCGUAAAGGGCGUGUAGGCGGUCUGUUAAGUCUGAUGUGAAAUCCCCUCGCUCAACGAGGGAACUGCGUCGGAUACUGGCAGACUCGAGUACCGGAGAGGAAGGUGGAAUUCCCGGUGUAGCGGUGAAAUGCGUAGAGAUCGGGAAGAACAUCAGUGGCGAAGGCGGCCUGCUGGGCUGUUGCUGACGCUGAGGCGCGACAGCGUGGGGAGCAAACAGGA
Molecule: ribosomal RNA, 253 nt
Filed under: uncultured prokaryote
Description: partial 16S ribosomal RNA
Rfam family: Bacterial small subunit ribosomal RNA
Source: RNAcentral